AGUUCCUACGGGGGGCAGCAGUGGGGAAUAUUGCACAAUGGGGGAAACCCUGAUGCAGCAACGCCGCGUGAGUGAAGAAGUCAUUCGUGAUGUAAAGCUCUAUCAGCAGGGAAGAAAAUGACGGUACCUGACUAAGAAGCCCCGGCUAACUACGUGCCAGCAGCCGCGGUAAUACGUAGGGGGCAAGCGUUAUCCGGAUUUACUGGGUGUAAAGGGAGCGUAGGUGGCAUGGUAAGCCAGAAGUGAAAACCCGGGGCUCAACCCCGCGGAUUGCUUUUGGAACUAUCAGGCUGGUGUGCUGGAGG
This 305-nucleotide ribosomal RNA is filed under the name uncultured bacterium. RNAcentral describes it as "bacterial SSU rRNA". It matches the Rfam family "Bacterial small subunit ribosomal RNA", at positions 334 to 655 of the family's 1533-position model. The record is from RNAcentral.